AACGUACGCUGGCGGCACGCCUAACACAUGCAAGUCGAACGAAGUAGCAAUACUUAGUGGCAGACGGGUGAGUAACAUGUAGGUAUCUGCCCUUUGGCCUGGAAUAACACGAGGAAACUUGUGCUAAUACCGGAUAAGUCUUUACGGAGAAAGCUUUAUGCACCAUUGGAUGAGCCUGCAUUUGAUUAGUUUGUUGGUGGGGUAAUGGCCUACCAAGACUGUGAUCAAUAGCUGAUUUGAGAGGAUGAUCAGCCACAUUGGGACUGAGACACGGCCCAAACUCCUACGGGAGGCAGCAGUGGGGAAUCUUGCACAAUGGAGGAAACUCUGAUGCAGCGAUGCCGCGUGAGUGAAGAAGGCCCUUGGGUUGUAAAGCUCUUUCGUCGGGGAAGAAAAUGACUGUACCCGAAUAAGAAGGUCCGGCUAACUUCGUGCCAGCAGCCGCGGUAAUACGAAGGGACCUAGCGUAGUUCGGAAUUACUGGGCUUAAAGAGUUCGUAGGUGGUUGAAAAAGUUAGUGGUGAAAUCCCAGAGCUUAACUCUGGAACUGCCAUUAAAACUUUUCAGCUAGAGUAUGAUAGAGGAAAGCAGAAUUUCUAGUGUAGAGGUGAAAUUCGUAGAUAUUAGAAAGAAUACCAAUUGCGAAGGCAGCUUUCUGGAUCAUUACUGACACUGAGGAACGAAAGCAUGGGUAGCGAAGAGGAUUAGAUACCCUCGUAGUCCAUGCCGUAAACGAUGUGUGUUAGACGUUGGAAAUUUAUUUUCAGUGUCGCAGGGAAACCGAUAAACACACCGCCUGGGGAGUACGACCGCAAGGUUAAAACUCAAAUGAAUUGACGGGGACCCGCACAAGUAGUGGAGCAUGUGGUUUAAUUCGAAGAUACGCGCAGAACCUUACCAACACUUGACAUGUUCGUCGCGACUCUAAGAGAUUAGAGUUUUCGGUUCGGCCGGACGAAACACAGGUGCUGCAUGGCUGUCGUCAGCUCGUGUCGUGAGAUGUUGGGUUAAGUCCCGCAACGAGCGCAACCCUCACUUUUAGUUGCCAUCAUUAAGUUGGGCACUCUGAAAGAACUGCCAGUGAUAAGCUGGAGGAAGGUGGGGAUGACGUCAGGUCCUCAUGGCCCUUACGUGUUGGGCUACACACGUGCUACAAUGGUAUCUACAACAGGAAGCAAAACUGCGAAGUUAAGCAAAUCCCUAAAAGAUACCUCAGUUCGGAUUGCACUCUGCAACUCGAGUGCAUGAAGCUGGAAUUACUAGUAAUCGUGGAUCAGCGUGCCACGGUGAAUGCGUUCCCGGGUCU
Molecule: ribosomal RNA, 1306 nt
Filed under: uncultured bacterium
Lineage: Bacteria
Description: bacterial SSU rRNA
Rfam family: Bacterial small subunit ribosomal RNA
Source: RNAcentral